GCAGUCGUGGCCGAGUGGUUAAGGCGAUGGACUAGAAAUCUAUUGGGGUCUCUCCGCACUGGUUCGAAUCCUUGCAACUGCG
Molecule: transfer RNA, 82 nt
Filed under: Ixodes scapularis (black-legged tick)
Lineage: Eukaryota; Metazoa; Arthropoda; Arachnida; Ixodida; Ixodidae
Rfam family: tRNA
About the family: Transfer RNA (tRNA) molecules are approximately 80 nucleotides in length. Their secondary structure includes four short double-helical elements and three loops (D, anti-codon, and T loops).
Source: Rfam by way of RNAcentral